CGCUGAAAGCGAAUGACAGAGCAUAAUGACGCUCAUCUUGCGUCUCUUUAAUUGGCAUCUCGCAAUAAUUUUGCGCAAAGAUUUCCGAAAAAGACGACAAGUUCGAUUACUUCUACUACUACUACUUGGGAGAAAGCUGUGUGGCUACUUAGACGCUUGGUCGUCGUGUGUGACCCACUCUAGCUGUGAAGAUAAUCAGAUAAUUAAUUGGCAGCUGGAUUCGACGAUAAACAAGCCCCGAAAAUUGUCUCCAGUGCCAUACAUAUGUAUGUAUGUUUCUGUUGGCCAUUGCUGAGGUAUUCAGUGUGGAUCGAUCCAAAUCGAUAUUGAAAGAUAUUGAGGCCAAGCUAAAGAUUUUUUACACUAGGAACUGGUUGGAGUUCCAGCGAAUUGAGCCUAAAUUCAUUAUGUUGCCUCGUAAACAAUUUGACUUGGUCGUGAAUGCCUAUUUUCAUCAGGCCAAGCGUGUGGAGGAGGAAUAUGUAUCGCCGUUCAAAAAUAGACCACUACAACCAUGUCCAAAGGAAUGACUUGUCUUUCCUGCUGGCUAUAAUCUAAGCGCCUUACGAGUUAUGAAUGAUCCCAACCACUAGGCCAUUCGCAAAGGCGUUCGUACUGGGGAUACUACCAUUUAUUAUUACAAAAAGUACAUACAAACAUAAUAUUUGUAAGUUUUCAUUUUCAAUAAAGGCUGAAAGACCGA
This is a long non-coding RNA of Drosophila pseudoobscura, 703 nucleotides long. RefSeq lists it as uncharacterized. Lineage: Eukaryota; Metazoa; Arthropoda; Insecta; Diptera; Drosophilidae. The record is from RefSeq and is a predicted model, not a curated record. The transcript has 2 exons.